AUGCAAGACAUGGCAUUUCAAACUUUGGAGGCAUUCAAGGUUCAACACAAUGACAAGUGCUUCAACCUCUCCCAUUGCUAUCGGGUCAUCAAGGACGAAGAGAAGUUCAAGGCGCGAUAUGCCGCACUCAAGGCACGUGGGGGGAAGAAAGCCAUGAAGGAUGUUGGGAAGGGCGAGCCGGCACGGCCGUGGGGGAAGACCAACUUCAAGAAGGAGGACAAGCGAGAUGCGGCCACCAACGCCUUGAUCGCAAGCGUGGACGGCAUGACGAAUAAGAAGGACUCAAGAGAGGAGGAGCGCUGGCGUUUCAAGGCGGAGCAAAUGGAUGCUUUUAUGGAGAUCCAAAGGAGGAGGCUUGAUCUUGACGCCGAGAAGCAAGCCAAGAUGUUCGAGCUCGAGGCGGAGAAGCAAGCCAAGAUGCUAGAGAUCGAGGCCGCCAACGCUAAGACCAAGGCGAAAGAAGUGGCUCUUGCGAGCAUGAUGACCGGGAUGGAGAUCAUGAAGGUGGAUCUCAACAUCGUGUCGCCAAGGAAGAGGCCGUGGUUCGAGAAGAUGUAG
This 558-nucleotide ribosomal RNA is filed under the name Triticum aestivum (bread wheat). RNAcentral's name for it is "partial small subunit ribosomal RNA". Lineage: Eukaryota; Viridiplantae; Streptophyta; Magnoliopsida; Poales; Poaceae. The record is from RNAcentral.